AAUAAAUACAGUUUUACACUAUUCACGUUUAACAUUUGACCGUUCAUCUUAUUUGAAAAUUUUUUAUGAUUAGUAUUUUUAUUACUAUUAGAUGAUAAAACAUGAAUAGUACUUUAUGUGUGUCUAAAUAUUUUUAAAUUUUUCACAAAUUUUUUAAAUAAAACGAAUGGUCAAACGUUAGACACGGAUAUCCACGACUGCACUUAUU
Non-coding RNA from Oryza glumipatula, 208 nucleotides. The record is from Rfam. Lineage: Eukaryota; Viridiplantae; Streptophyta; Magnoliopsida; Poales; Poaceae.